CCCUUCGGGGAAGGAUUAGCGGCGAACGGGUGAGGAACACGUGAGGAAUCUGCCUUCAACACUGGGAUAACUCCGGGAAACCGGGGCUAAUACCGGAUACGAAACUCGGUGGCAUCACUGAGUUUGGAAAGUUUUUCGGUUGAAGAUGACCUCGCGGCCUAUCAGCUUGUUGGUGAGGUAAUGGCUCACCAAGGCGACGACGGGUAGCCGGCCUGAGAGGGCGACCGGCCACACUGGGACUGAGACACGGCCCAGACUCCUACGGGAGGCAGCAGUGGGGAAUAUUGGGCAAUGGAGGAAACUCUGACCCAGCGACGCCGCGUGCGGGAUGAAGGCCUUCGGGUUGUAAACCGCUUUCAGCAGGGAAGAAGCGAAAGUGACGGUACCUGCAGAAGAAGCACCGGCUAACUAUGUGCCAGCAGCCGCGGUAAUACAUAGGGUGCAAGCGUUGUCCGGAAUUAUUGGGCGUAAAGAGCUCGUAGGUGGUUCGUCACGUCGGAUGUGAAAAUCUGGGGCUCAACCCCAGACCUGCAUUCGAUACGGGCGAUCUAGAGUGUGGUAGGGGAGACUGGAAUUCCUGGUGUAGCGGUGGAAUGCGCAGAUAUCAGGAGGAACACCAAUGGCGAAGGCAGGUCUCUGGGCCAUUACUGACACUGAGGAGCGAAAGCGUGGGGAGCGAACAGGAUUAGAUACCCUGGUAGUCCACGCCGUAAACGGUGGGCACUAGUUGUGGGAACCUUCCACGGUUUCUGCGACGCAGCUAACGCAUUAAGUG
Molecule: ribosomal RNA, 775 nt
Filed under: uncultured organism
Description: bacterial SSU rRNA
Rfam family: Bacterial small subunit ribosomal RNA
Source: RNAcentral